UGGAAGACUUAAGAUGGCGGCGUUUGCACGGAGUGCAAUCACUGCGUCCUUACGGGGGUUGCAAGGCGUCCGAAGUAUGAGUCCACUAACAAAAGUCCAGAAACUCGCCAGUUAAUAGUAUUGUGAUGGAGUUCGCUCUUGUUGCCCAGGCUGGAAUGCAAUGGCAUGACCUUGGCUCACUGCAACCUCUGCCUCCCCAGUUCAAGUGGUUCUCCUGCCUCAGCCUCCCGAGUAGCUGAGAUUACAGGUACUGGCUCCUGUAUCACCCAGCUCUGGAGUUGAAAGAGCUCUUCAUUCCUGAGUCUCCUGUACCACUGAGAAUAGAAAUACAAAAAAAAUUCUAAAACUUGUAUGGAACUACAAAAGACAUUAAAUAAUCAAAGUAAUCUUGAGCAACAAGGACACAGCUGGAGGCAUCACUCUACCUGAUUUUGUAAUCCAUUAUCAAAAAACUGUGGUACCAGCAUAAAAACAGAUUCACUGACCAGUGGAACAGGAAAGCCCAGACAUAACUCAUACAUUUCCAUCCAAUUGAUUUUUGACAAAAGUGGCACACAGAAUGGGGAGAGGACAAAUAAAUAAAUAAAUUGUUUUGAGAUAUCUGUA
This 606-nucleotide long non-coding RNA is filed under the name Homo sapiens (human). RNAcentral's name for it is "JPX transcript, XIST activator". The stretch from base 1 to 126 matches the Rfam family "JPX transcript, XIST activator conserved region 1". The record is from RNAcentral. Lineage: Eukaryota; Metazoa; Chordata; Mammalia; Primates; Hominidae.